This 323-nucleotide unclassified non-coding RNA is filed under the name soil metagenome. RNAcentral's name for it is "partial contains 5.8S ribosomal RNA, internal transcribed spacer 2, and large subunit ribosomal RNA". The stretch from base 1 to 120 matches the Rfam family "5.8S ribosomal RNA", at positions 35 to 154 of the family's 154-position model. The record is from RNAcentral.
GAUGAAGAACGCAGCGAAAUGCGAUAAGUAAUGCGAAUUGCAGAAUUCAGUGAGUCAUCGAAUCUUUGAACGCACAUUGCGCCCUGUGGUAUUCCGCAGGGCAUGCCUGUUCGAGCGUCAUUUCAACCCUCAAGCUCUGCUUGGUGUUGGGCCCUGCCCGCUGCGGCCGGCCCUAAAGACAGUGGCGGUGCCGCCUGGCCCUGAGCGUAGUACAUCUCUCGCUCCAGUGCCCGGUGGUAGCCUGCCAGAACCCCAACUCUCUUGGUUGACCUCGGAUCAGGUAGGGAUACCCGCUGAACUUAAGCAUAUCAAUAAGCGGAGGA